UUUCCAUCUUCACGGGCAACUACCCUGCCCUUUUUUUUCCUUAAAUCCCAAGAAAUCUACUUCCUCUCUCCCACCCACGACCUCCCCUCUCCCUCUUCUUUUGUUUUCUAACCGAUUACAGAACAACACUCCAUUUUCGCUCUCAUUCCACUCUUUUCCGUCUAAAAAAUUGGCUUAAUAAAAAUCCCCUCUUCCUCCGUGUGCUCAGUUUGAUUUUUUUAGGGUUUCAGUGUGAAUAAUAACUACCAGGAGAAGGGUGAUUAUUGUUGUAUGGUGGUGACAUUUCCUUGCUUCAUUCGGUGAAUCCUUCGCUGGCCAUUGGUGCACUCAUUAGAUCUUCCAGCAGGGGUGAAACGCGCAACCAAUUUGUAAGAGUCUCUCAAGGUACUCGCAACCAUAGAUUCAUUUGUCGGGUGAUCUUGGUUUCCCAUGGAUUGUUAUGAAGCAUCUAACCCUCUGUUUUCCAUGCUUUUUUGCUUUUAAUGUUUUACCUGGGCAAUGUAUAUUUGCUGAUGUGUAUGGGUUUUUGGGAUUUAUGAAACUGAAGAAGACAUGUAAUGUAGUUUUGAUGAAGUGCUGACCUCUCUGUCUAUAUAGUUAGUAUCCUACAAGUCAGAUGCUGAUUUUUAUUUACGAUUAGCAGUACAUACCAACUUUGGCUGGACGGACACUUCUCGGAACAUGAAAUCCUUCUCAUGACUAUUAUUAUGCAGCAAAAAGAAGGCCUUUGGAGCUGUCCUCUUUGAACUACUGGGUAAGCUCUCAAUUCUUUCGGCAUGAACAAUGAUUUUAAUUGUAAGCUUUAUAACUAUUACCAUUUCUAUUCAAAUGGUCAAUGUACAUCUCCUAAUGUUGUCAAGGGAGUACAUUGACAACUAAGUUAAGUUUUUCCAGCGAUAUUGACUGAUAAUAACUAACAAAUUACAAUUCUACUUGAUGCAUUAGUUUAGUGUUCCAUCAGGGCUGCUGCUGCAAUAGUUCAAAUUUUCAUCCGGGCUGUUACUGCCUCAAUUUAUUGUUCCAUCUAUCUUUCUCAUUAGAUGUCUUGCCUCUAUCUCUGUGGAUGUUACUCCAAAUAAAUUCCCGAACACUCUCCGCCAUUCAAAUGGAUGUAAUCGGCUAAGCAAAAUCGCCAAUUAUAGUUUUCUUUUAAAUAUUCUUGUUUCUCCUUUGGGUGAUGGGAUGUUAAAAAUUGAUGUCAUUGUCUGCUGUUCAUGAGCAUGAGUUAUAUUUUAAUACUUUUGUUCACCAUGACAGGAUUAUAUAACAUCCCUUGACCCUUGUAACCACUGACCUAGCAAAUAAUGUAAUUUUAAAACACACAAUCGUGGAGAGAGAGCACAGGUAUUUUCAGACUGAAUAUCAAUGUUAUGAAGCUCUGUAGAAUUUCGUAUCCGACACUACUUAGCUUGAGUUUCCAAUGUUCUCUGUUUGAGCUUCUGUUUUAAUCAAUGGAGAUGCCUUCUUAAUUGUCUGUCAUUUUCAUCUCCUUAAUUUUAAACAUUUUGUUUGGGUUUGCUUGGCUUGCUCAGCUUCUGGUUUAUUUUUCUUUUCUGUUUCCUCCACACUUGGGUGAAAACUAACUCUACUAUUAGAUACUCUAUUUGGUCUCAAUCAAUUUGCCCCUUUGCUUUCAUUAUAGUGUUUAGUUUCUCACCUUUUUAAUUGAAUAAAGGCCAUGUAGAAUGCAAGACACAGUAAAUCAUGACACUUACUCUAUCUGUUUUCCGUAUGAAUUGCAAUGACAGGUUGCUUUCCUGAAUAAGCGAAGAGGAUGCAUUCGGUUAGCCAUAGAGACGGGUAUAAGUUGCCGAUGGAUUUAUGUUCUCCAAGCUGUCAGUUAUGUCCUAUCAGAGAAAGUGAGGUAUGAACUAAUAUUUUGUUGCACGGUAUGAACUAUAGUUCAUUAAUGGGCGGUGUUAUACACCAAAUAGCAUUAAUCAUGUACUUAUUUUUACCAUUCAAAAUAUGUCUUCAAACUAAUUAGUAAGGUGGAUCGCGGUAGGUGUAUGAAACAAAAUAAAAUACAGGGGUAUGUAGGGUGUCCAUUCUGAGUUUAAUAUUCGCAUUGAAGUAUCUGUCAUGUUAACAGACGUAAACAUGCCUAAUUAUUAGACUGCGGUUACUUGGCAAGGAAUAAAAAAUAGCUCAUUGGGAUGAAAGGUCUGUCAUUCACAAGUAUAUGAAUUAAAAAAUUAUUUUUGGUCCAUCCAGAUGAAUUGCAUUUAAGUUAAAAUAUAAAAUAUGAUUUCUUCUCCCAAUAAAAACAAAUUAUUCUUCUUAUGUAUNNN
This 2291-nucleotide long non-coding RNA is filed under the name Linum usitatissimum (flax). RNAcentral's name for it is "long non-coding RNA (LUSI_LNC006973)". Lineage: Eukaryota; Viridiplantae; Streptophyta; Magnoliopsida; Malpighiales; Linaceae. The record is from RNAcentral.